RNAcentral lists this ribosomal RNA (1458 nucleotides) under human metagenome. Its description in RNAcentral is "bacterial LSU rRNA". It matches the Rfam family "Bacterial large subunit ribosomal RNA", at positions 500 to 1973 of the family's 2925-position model. The record is from RNAcentral.
ACCGUGAGGGAAAGGUGAAAAGAACCCCGGGAGGGGAGUGAAAUAGAACCUGAAAUUGUGUGCUUACAAGCGGUCAGAGCCAGUGAUGGUGAUGGCGUGCCUUUUGGAGAAUGAUCCUGCGAGUUACGUUAAACGGCGAGGUUAAGUAUAACGGAGCCGAAGGGAAACCAAGUCUUAAUAGGGCGAUUUAGUCGUUUGGCGUAGACGCGAAACCUGGUGAUCUAAACCUGUCCAGGAUGAAGCUGUGGUAAGACACAGUGGAGGUCCUAACCCACCGCCGUUGAAAAGUUGGGGGAUGAGGUAGGUUUAGGGGUGAAAAGCCAAUCGAACCAGGAGAUAGCUCGUUCUCUCCGAAAUGCAUCUAGGUGCAGCCUUGAGUGUUCAAUUAUGGGGGUAGAGCACUGAAUGAUCUAGGGGGCGUAUUGCUUACUGAAAUCAAUCAAACUCCGAAUACCAUAAUUUAGAGCUCAGGAGUGAGACUAUGGGAGUUAACUUCCAUUGUCGAAAGGGAAACAACCCAGACCACCAGCUAAGGUCCCUAAUUAUAACUAAGUGGGAAAGGAGGUGGAGAUUCACAAACAACUAGGAGGUUGGCUUAGAAGCAGCCAUACCUUUAAAGAGUGCGUAAUAGCUCACUAGUCGAGAGUCUCUGCGCCGACAAUGUAACGGGGCUAAGUUAUAAACCGAAGCUGUGGAAUCCGUAAGGAUUGGUAGGAGAGCGUUCUGUAGGCCGUUGAAGGAGAAGGGUAACCGACUCUGGAGGUAUCAGAAGUGAGAAUGCAGGAAUAAGUAGCGAGAAAGGGGGCGAGAAUCCCCCUCGCCGGAAGACCAAGGUUUUCAGGGUAAAGCUUGUCUUCCCUGAGUAAGCCGGGACCUAAGCCCAGGCUAUAAUGCGUAGGCGAAUGGAAAACAGAUUAAUAUUUCUGUGCCAGUCAUAUAUUGUGAUGGAGGGACGCAGAAGGGUAUGCACGCGGACGAACGGAAGUGUCCGUAGAAGUAUGUAGGAUGACUUGAUAGGAAAAUCCAUUGAGUUAUAUCUGAGGUAUGAUAUACAGUCGUAAGAUGAAUGCGCAAAUCCCACGCUGCCAAGAAAAGCUUCUAACGUUAAUAUUUGACUGCCCGUACUGCAAACCGACACAGGUGGUCAGGAUGAGAAAUCUAAGGCGGACAGGCUAACUCUCGUUAAGGAACUCUGCAAAAUAACCUCGUAACUUCGGGAGAAGAGGAGCCCUUGAGGGUCAGUAUCCACGCGAUACAAAGCACUCGAGGGUCGCAGUGAAGAGGCUCAAGCAACUGUUUAACAAAAACACAGGUCUAUGCUAAGCUGGAAGGCGAUGUAUAUGGGCUGACACCUGCCCAGUGCUGGAAGGUUAAGAGGAGGAGUGAGAGCUCCGAAUUGAAGCCCCAGUGAACGGCGGCCGUAACUAUAACGGUCCUAAGGUAGCGAAAUUCCUUGUC